RNAcentral lists this ribosomal RNA (625 nucleotides) under Laccaria bicolor. RNAcentral describes it as "eukaryotic LSU rRNA". The stretch from base 100 to 253 matches the Rfam family "5.8S ribosomal RNA". Lineage: Eukaryota; Fungi; Basidiomycota; Agaricomycetes; Agaricales; Hydnangiaceae. The record is from RNAcentral.
UCGGCUUUUCUUUCAUUUCCAAGACUAUGUUUUUAUAUAUACACCAAAGUAUGUUUAUAGAAUGUCAUCAAUGGGAACUUGUUUCCUAUAAAAUUAUACAACUUUCAGCAACGGAUCUCUUGGCUCUCGCAUCGAUGAAGAACGCAGCGAAAUGCGAUAAGUAAUGUGAAUUGCAGAAUUCAGUGAAUCAUCGAAUCUUUGAACGCACCUUGCGCUCCUUGGUAUUCCGAGGAGCAUGCCUGUUUGAGUGUCAUUAAAUUCUCAACCUUCCAACUUUUAUUAGCUUGGUUAGGCUUGGAUGUGGGGGUUGCGGGCUUCAUUAAUGAGGUCGGCUCUCCUUAAAUGCAUUAGCGGAACUUUUGUGGACCGUCUAUUGGUGUGAUAAUUAUCUACGCCGUGGAUGUGAAGCAGCUUUAUGAAGUUCUGCUUCUAACCGUCCAUUGACUUGGACAAUUUUUGACAAUUUGACCUCAAAUCAGGUAGGACUACCCGCUGAACUUAAGCAUAUCAAUAAGCGGAGGAAAAGAAACUAACAAGGAUUCCCCUAGUAACUGCGAGUGAAGCGGGAAAAGCUCAAAUUUAAAAUCUGGCAGUCUUUGGCUGUCCGAGUUGUAAUCUAGAGAAG